AUGUAAUAUAUAUGAUAUUGCUAGUGUAGACAAACACUGUUUUAAAUGUAGGUUAGAUUUCCAUGUUCACAAUAUUCUAUUGAGGUGAUUGUUUCUCUUGUUUGCUAUUAAAAAGCUGUAAAUAACGAGUCAUUUUUGUCAUGUGUGUGCUUUAUCUAGUAGUGGAACAGAGUGUGCUACUUUAUGCUCUUGGUGCUUUGAGCUGAAAUUUCCUCAGAAAUCCUGCCUGCAGCUUUGGAGAUGCAGCUGUGGAAGUCAGAAACAUGACACAUGUCAAGUGAUAGUCAUGGUUAACUUACUAUGUCCAGGCAGAACCCAGAGACUACAUUUGAAGUGUAUGUGGAAGUGGCCUAUCCUAGGACAGGUGGCACUCUUUCAGGGGAAGGAAGUGGGCAGGUGAAAAGGUCAUGCAAAGGUGCCUCAGCUUCCCUCAUGUUACAACUACAGCCGUAUAUCACUGUGUCCAGCAUUCUAAAGGUGCCUGUGUAGCUCAGUACUUGGUUGAAAAUGCUUUGCCUGGAAUUUGCACUGGACAUAUUUGGAGAAGAAAGCCUCCCUGCAUUGUGCAUUUAAAAAAGUUUUUGUAAGUAUGCUUAGAAAAUGGCAGCAUUUAUUGGUUUUGGCUGUCAAUGUCUGCUGCUCCUGACUGUGUUUAACCAGAAAGGGAAACUCAGAGUAGAAAAAGUUUCACUCCCAAGAUUUUACAAGAGAACCCGUCUUUGUUGAGUUAUAUAUAUAUAUUUUAAAGGAGCUUGACAUCUUCAUCAAGUUCACAGUGGGCUUGCUUUGUUUGCUUUCUCUUGAAUGCUUGAUAAGAUUUUUCUUCUAUUGUUUUGUGCAGUAAGAACAGAUCUUUCCCUGGCUGGGGUGGGUUUUUUGUAAAUCCACAAUAUGGUCAUUGUCUGGUGGUGAAUAAUUGUGGCUGCUUUUUGUACAACCAGAACUAAGGCUUUGGCUGUGAACAGAUUCCUUCUUAGUGUGAAAAGGGACUAAUCCAUGUAAAUACAGCCCCCAAAUAAAGCUUUACAGAGAAAGGGGAAGGCCGCUAAGCAGGAGGGCACAGGUCAGCAAUUUAACCUUUAACCUAACAAAUAAGAAGCAUGAAAGUUCCAGAAUUGGUUUACAAAAGAAAGCUCCUGUGAUCUGUCAGUUUUUCUUUUCAGGAGGGGGCUGGGGGAGAGGUCUGACUGACAGCUAGUGCCUUUUAACUGCAGCCUGAAAUUAACUGCCAAAUUGAAACUUGAAUAUUUGAGGGAGAAGUUUCCUUAAAGAAGUGAAGGUGGCAGAAUAGACUAUAUAGGCUUCAGCCUGGGAUUUUAGCCUGUAAGUGGGGUGAAAAGCUUAGAACUGGACUGCUGUUAGGAUCCCUCCCAAGACUGUCAGUCUGUGGUCUGACUCUUAUGUCAAACUAGACAUGAACUUUGCAGUUUCAAGCCAGGAGAAAGAAACUCUUCCCCCUUUCUAGUAGUAUCACUGAUAUCCUUUGUAGACGCUUCUUGCUUCUUUAAAUUAAUUGUAGCUUUAACCAAAGAUAUAAGAGCUUUUUGUAAAUGUAAUGAAUAUGUUUUCCCCAUCUUGAGAUUUCACUGCUUACAGCUGUCACAGCCUGGUGCAUUUUGGGACUCAGUGUAGUGUGGAGCUGUGAGGCAGAGGAUGCAGGAAUGCUCUCACACACUGUUGUGUAACUCUAUGGGCACACAUAGUUGAGGCUGAGCAGCAGAAAUUGGAGUAUCAGGCAGUGCAUGGGGACACCAGAAGCUGUGGCAAAGGAGGGAUUUCUCCAUCUCCUAUACAGGCUAAAAUAAGGUUGUGGUGAGCUUUACUGUUUUACUUUAUGCUGUUUUACCCAUUUACAAACUUUGCAAAACAGUUUGUAUUUAUUUAAUCACAACAGGUAAUCUUGUUAGUGAGUGUUAGUUUUUGCUUAAAGCAUAACGCAUCUCAAGUUAGAGGUUCCAUCUCACUGUGGAGAAUUUUGUAACUGUAAAAGCUUUAAUUACUAAGAAUUAUUCAGAUUAAGAGAAACAAUGAUCUAAUGACUUUAAAGUAGCUCUCCAUAGAUGAAGAAUAGUAAUUACACUGUUAUUAUCUCGUAGAACCAAAGGCCCAGGGAUGAGACUGAGUUCUUCAGUUGUCCUUAAUGCAAUGGUUCUCAACCUUCCCAAUGUUGUGACCCUUUAAUAUAGUUCCUCAUGUUGUGGUGACCCCAACCAUAAAAUUACUUUUGUUGAUGCUUCAUUACUGUAAUUUUGCUACUGUUAUGAAUUGUAACAUAAAUAUCUGAUAUGCUAGAUAUGCGACUCCUGUGAAAGAAAGGGUUGUUCAACCCCAAAAGGGGUUGUGACCCAAAGGUUGAGAACCACUGGCUUAGGAAGUUGUUUUCUUUUUAUCUAUCCUUGCCAUU
Molecule: non-coding RNA, 2404 nt
Organism: Cricetulus griseus (Chinese hamster)
Lineage: Eukaryota; Metazoa; Chordata; Mammalia; Rodentia; Cricetidae
Source: RefSeq, a predicted model, not a curated record